Non-coding RNA from Brassica napus (rape), 116 nucleotides. NCBI's taxonomy places the organism in Eukaryota, Viridiplantae, Streptophyta, Magnoliopsida, Brassicales, Brassicaceae. The record is from Rfam.
GGAAUAUAAGAAACUGUCUCUUAACUUUUAACUAAAAAAACUAAGAACCGGUUCUUAAAUUAAGAGCCGGUUCUUAGCUUUUGUGUUAAAAGUUAAUAGACGGUUUCUUAUAUUCC